RNAcentral lists this ribosomal RNA (432 nucleotides) under uncultured bacterium. Its description in RNAcentral is "bacterial SSU rRNA". It matches the Rfam family "Bacterial small subunit ribosomal RNA", at positions 355 to 802 of the family's 1533-position model. The record is from RNAcentral.
CAGGGAAUCUUGCACAAUGGGCGAAAGCCUGAUGCAGCGACGCCGCGUGGGGGAUGAAGGCCUUAGGGUCGUAAACCCCUUUCAGCAGGGACGAAAAUGACGGUACCUGCAGAAGAAGCCCCGGCCAACUACGUGCCAGCAGCCGCGGUAAGACGUAGGGGGCGAGCGUUGUCCGGAUUUAUUGGGCGUAAAGAGCUCGUAGGCGGUUGCGUAAGUCGGAUGUGAAAACUCAGGGCUCAACCCUGAGACGCCAUCCGAUACUGCGCUGACUUGAAUCCAGUAGGGGAGUGUGGAAUUCCUGGUGUAGCGGUGAAAUGCGCAGAUAUCAGGAGGAACACCCAUGGCGAAGGCAGCACUCUGGGCUGGUAUUGACGCUGAGGAGCGAAAGCAUGGGUAGCGAACAGGAUUAGAUACCCCGGUAGUCCUGAGCGG